This 164-nucleotide ribosomal RNA is filed under the name uncultured bacterium. Its description in RNAcentral is "partial 16S rRNA". It matches the Rfam family "Bacterial small subunit ribosomal RNA", at positions 355 to 511 of the family's 1533-position model. The record is from RNAcentral.
UAGGGAAUCUUCCACAAUGGACGAAAGUCUGAUGGAGCAACGCCGCGUGAGUGAAGAAGGUUUUCGGACCGUAAAGCUCUGUUGUUGGUGAAGAAGGAUAGAGGCAGUAACUGGUCUUUAUUUGACGGUAAUCAACCAGAAAGUCACGGCUAACUACGUGCCAC